Molecule: ribosomal RNA, 519 nt
Filed under: bacterium A4M_VP5_D10
Lineage: Bacteria
Description: bacterial SSU rRNA
Rfam family: Bacterial small subunit ribosomal RNA
Source: RNAcentral
UCAUACGGGAGGCAGCAGUGGGGAAUCUUGGACAAUGGGGGCAACCCUGAUCCAGCCAUGCCGCGUGAGUGAUGAAGGCCUUAGGGUCGUAAAGCUCUUUCGCCUGUGAAGAUAAUGACGGUAGCAGGUAAAGAAACCCCGGCUAACUCCGUGCCAGCAGCCGCGGUAAUACGGAGGGGGUUAGCGUUGUUCGGAAUUACUGGGCGUAAAGCGCACGUAGGCGGAUCGGAAAGUUGGGGGUGAAAUCCCGGGGCUCAACCCCGGAACUGCCUCCAAAACUAUCGGUCUAGAGUUCGAGAGAGGUGAGUGGAAUUCCGAGUGUAGAGGUGAAAUUCGUAGAUAUUCGGAGGAACACCAGUGGCGAAGGCGGCUCACUGGCUCGAUACUGACGCUGAGGUGCGAAAGUGUGGGGAGCAAACAGGAUUAGAUACCCUGGUAGUCCACACCGUAAACGAUGAAUGCCAGUCGUCGGGUAGCAUGCUAUUCGGUGACACACCUAACGGAUUAAGCAUUCCGCCU